AGUCCAUAAAUUUUUUAUAUAGGUAAGUAAAUGAUAUACCCGUGAAAAUCCUGCAAAGAUUUAUAAGUUUCCUCACCUAAAGGAGAGUUGAGCUGAGCGAAUGAACAUCAUAUAGAGGUUCUGAUCGCUGUGGGGGUUAAGAUGAUAUCUCACUAGGCUGUACCUUCUCAUUGUUUAAACAAAGAGGAUGCCAAAUGGAGUAAUAUUAAGAAAGAGUGAUAUCAGUAUUGCACAACGUUAUUAAGAAAUAUUACGUAUGUCAUUGAAGCAACUAUUCUGUGCAUGGCCAUGGAGUCUAGCUUAUGGUUCUCAUAAACAAAAUAUAUAUAUUUGUAUCAGGGGGUUAUGUUAAUGACAUACUUUAUGACAUGCUUUUUGGGCCGCUGGAUUUUUAUCUAGUGAUCGGCUGUCAUAUUUUCUCAACUAAGAAAAAGUUGGACUAUCAUUUUGCAAUGAAACUUCGGCAAAAUCAGAAUUUUCAUUUAUACUUAUUAUCCAUAGACAUUGUAGUGUUUCCGAUGAACGAUGAUGGAAAGAAGCAUAUUACAUGUAGUGUAGGCAUAGUGGUAAGGGAAGCACUUGGUGAACUUAAGGUCUCAAGUUCCAUCCCCGCUUGACACAAAACACAAUUCUUUUAAGGUACCCGUUACCAAUGAAGCCUAGACCCACAUGUGAAGCUCUAAAGACACGGGUUCAAUCCCUUGGUGUGCCCGGAUCAUGUGGAGAUUAAGAUGGAGGUAUAGUACCGGUAUCAUAUGGUUCAUACAGGGUGAUUCGAUGGGUAUCCAAUUGUGGUACCGGGGCUAAGGUUCCCCCCAUUAUCCUUUUUCAUAUCACAUGAAGUGUUGAUGCCGGUAAACCAUGUCGUUACAGCAUUUGAAUAUAUUGUCUUUCUUUAUGCAAGAAUAUUAGUUAUUCAGAUCUAUGUAUUUUUGUUAUUUGCAUUAAAACCCAAAAGGCCUGCUGAUUGAUUACACAGUUCUCCUUGUGUUUGUGUAAUUUUUAAUAGAUUUGACCAAUUUCAUGUACUAUUCUGAUAUAUAAUCUGAUUUUGAGUUACAGAGGCAGGGAGGAAAUCCCAGCGUUUUGUGCUUUCUUGAGUUUGCAGAUGCCAAUUGUGCUUUAACUGCUAUGGAAGCCCUUCAAGGUUCAUUUAUCUUCAACAUCUUGAUUGUGAAAGUGAUUAUCGAUGCACUACACAGGGACACUUGGAAGUUGGAACUCGAAAAUUAUGCUAAAGUUUGACUAGAAAAAAACAUCUUGGCAAAAAAAAGCAACAUAUCACCCUAUAUGAGACUCUGGAAAAGAAGUCAAAGAACUAGAGCUGAUAGUUUGACCCAUUUACGUAUGAAUGGGUCGAUGCGGUUACAAGUUUGAUAUGAAGAAACCUGAUUCACAUGCAUUGAAGUUACACUAUGCUCAUUUUCCAUUUCACUUCCCAUCUGAUGGCAAUAGGCAACAUCAAACUGUUUCAAGUUAAUUGCACUUGCAGUUGGAUACGAGCUUUAAGGUAAAUCCAAUUUCUAAUACAUUAGUCUGUUGUAAUAGGCAGUGAAUGCAAUAGGGACAGCUUACAAAUUGGCUGUUAACAACUCUGAUGUGUAAUAGAUUUCUAGUUAGCCAAUAGCCACAGUGUCUGGUCAAUAUUUUAGGUUCUUUUAGAAUGGUCUCUUCUUUCAAAGGAUUUUUUUUACAUGUGAUGUAUUUGAAGCGGUUUCAGCUGAGCAUGCACUACUGUAACCAUGAUCGUGUAUUGAAAUAACUAAAACAGUUUCAGUAA
This is a long non-coding RNA of Erigeron canadensis, 1780 nucleotides long. RefSeq lists it as uncharacterized. Lineage: Eukaryota; Viridiplantae; Streptophyta; Magnoliopsida; Asterales; Asteraceae. The transcript is spliced from 2 exons. The record is from RefSeq and is a predicted model, not a curated record.